AUUGAACGCUGGCGGCAGGCCUAACACAUGCAAGUCGAACGAGUGGCGGACGGGUGAGUAAUGUCUGGGAAACUGCCCGAUGGAGGGGGAUAACUACUGGAAACGGUAGCUAAUACCGCAUACCAUCGGAUGUGCCAAGAUGGGAUUCGCUAGUAGGUGGGGUAAAGGCUCACCAAGGCAACGAUCCCUAGCUGGUCUGAGAGGAUGACCAGCCACACUGGAACUGAGACACGUUCCAGACUCCUACGGGAGGCAGCAGUGGGGAAUAUUGCACAAUGGGCGCAAGCCUGAUGCAGCCAUGCCGCGUGUAUGAAGAAGGCCUUCGGGUUGUAAAGUACUUGCAGCGGGGAGGCGUUACUCACAGAAGAAGCACCGGCUAACUCCGUGCCAGCAGCCGCGGUAAGUC
This 406-nucleotide ribosomal RNA is filed under the name uncultured bacterium. RNAcentral describes it as "partial 16S ribosomal RNA". It matches the Rfam family "Bacterial small subunit ribosomal RNA", at positions 30 to 526 of the family's 1533-position model. The record is from RNAcentral.